GGAUAACUUACCCUUUAGGACUGGGAUAACUCUGGGAAACUGGGGAUAAUACUGGAUAUUAGGCUAUGCCUGGAAUGGUUUGCCUUUGAAAUGUUUUUUUCGCCUAAGGAUAGGUCUGCGGCUGAUUAGGUCGUUGGUGGGGUAAUGGCCCACCAAGCCGAUGAUCGGUACGGGUUGUGAGAGCAAGGGCCCGGAGAUGGAACCUGAGACAAGGUUCCAGACCCUACGGGGUGCAGCAGGCGCGAAACCUCCGCAAUGUACGAAAGUGCGACGGGGGGAUCCCAAGUGUUAUGCUUUUUUGUAUGACUUUUCAUUAGUGUAAAAAGCUUUUAGAAUAAGAGCUGGGCAAGACCGGUGCCAGCCGCCGCGGUAACACCGGCAGCUCGAGUGGUAGCUGUUUUUAUUGGGCCUAAAGCGUUCGUAGCCGGUUUGAUAAGUCUUUGGUGAAAGCUUGUAGCUUAACUAUAAGAAUUGCUGGAGAUACUAUUAGACUUGAAGUCGGGAGGGGUUAGAGGUACUACCGGGGUAGAGGUGAAAUCCUAUAAUCCUGGGAGGACCACCUGUGGCGAAGGCGUCUAACUGGAACGAUCUUGACGGUGAGUAACGAAAGCCAGGGGCGCGAACCGGAUUAGAUACCCGGGUAGUCCUGGCCGUAAACGAUGUGGACUUGGUGUUGGAAUGGCUUUGAGUUGUUCCGGUGCCGAAGGGAAGCUGUUAAGUCCACCGCCUGGGAAGUACGGUCGCAAGACUGAAACUUAA
Molecule: ribosomal RNA, 759 nt
Filed under: uncultured archaeon
Lineage: Archaea
Description: bacterial SSU rRNA
Rfam family: Archaeal small subunit ribosomal RNA
Source: RNAcentral